GCCUGGGUGGCUCAGUCGGUGAAGCGUCUGACUUCGGCUCAGGACAUGAUCUCAUGGCUCGCGGGUUCAAGUCCCGUGUCAGGCU
RNAcentral lists this transfer RNA (85 nucleotides) under Felis catus (domestic cat). It matches the Rfam family "tRNA". From Rfam's summary of the family: Transfer RNA (tRNA) molecules are approximately 80 nucleotides in length. Their secondary structure includes four short double-helical elements and three loops (D, anti-codon, and T loops). The record is from Rfam by way of RNAcentral. Lineage: Eukaryota; Metazoa; Chordata; Mammalia; Carnivora; Felidae.